CGGGUGUAGAUUUUCCAGGGUAAGCCUGGAAGAGAGGCUGGUAAACCCUGGAAAACUAUGGAAAAGCAUGGAAUUUCAUGGAAAUUCAUGGAAAAUAAGUAUUUUUUCCAUGCUAUGUGGACUUUUUUUGUCCAGCCAUUUCCAGCAUUGCUGGAAUAGGCUGGAAAUUGGCUGGACAUUUGUGGUAAAAGCCUGGAAAACCAUGGACUUUACUUCCAUGUAGCAUGGAAAGUGGAACUUAGAUUUUUUUGAUGCUGGAAAUGUGUUAAACUUUUUCUAAGUAUGCUGGAAAAAACUUGUAAAAAUUACAACAAGAAAUCUUACUUUAUAUAUAUUCAGCACAAUAUUGUAAAUUUACGAAGAAAAUAUAAAAUCAUCAUUUAUCUUAAUGCAAGUUACUGUAAAUGAUUUGAAAUUUGACACUUUAUACUUUUUAUGUAGUUGAAAAAGGGUAACUCAGAAAAAAUGUCUAUGCUAAAGACAUAAAUGAAUUGAUUGUUCAAAAUACAUAAUUUUUUAUUAUUAUUUAAAUAAAUCUACAUGAAGUUAUGUACAGUGUAAUAAUAUCCAUUUAAUUACAGGCUUUAGGUUUAACUAUAGAUUAAUUUAAGUCUGUGAUUAAAUCAUUCAGACACUAUAAUAAUCAAGAUGGGAUUGCAUUACUUGCCAUUUUUAAAUUGUAAGAAUUCAUGUUUUUGGAUAACAAUAAAUAAAUAAACAAACAAAACAAAACAGUGCAUGAAAGAAUCUCAUAUAUAUUCUGUAUUAAACUCAUAUAUAUUCUAUAUUAAAUUGACCAAUAUUUAGGAAAAUAAAUACUACAUCCACUGAGAUUUUACACUACACAGAUCAGAGCUCUGAUAAAACUCAUUGACCAGCAUUUUCUCACCGUCUGCGCAUGACUAAUUUACUCCACUGGUCAUUUCAGAUCAGGCUUUUCCAUGUGAUUAUUUUGGGGAGAGAUAACAUUAUAAAUUUCAUAUGCAGAGUGUGUCUAGAAGGACAUUGCAAUCUUUUUUGUACAAAAAUUUGUAAUGAUCUUUAAAAUCUAUAUAUUUAUUAGCUAUUUGAUAUUUUCUUUUACACUCAAAGAAUAAAAGUUAAAAUGAUGAGUAGAUUAACCCUGCUUUACAUAAUGAUAGACCUGUCCAGUAACUGUUGUAAAUUUUGAAUUCUAAGAUAUCUGGGUCAGCUAAGAGUGCAAAUUACAGUGGAUGUACUUGAUAAUUUAGCAGUUUUGGAGAUAUUGUUUUGUUUAAGACUUUAAAGUGUUUAAGUAUUGGUAUGAUAACAAUUAGAAUCACCAGGGACAAAGAGAUAUACAACAGAAUCAGGCUGGGACAUAAGUGCUGACUGUGAGAAUUACCAAUAGUGUUGAAUAAUGAUGUGCAGAAUUAAUCCUGAAAAGGUGAGCACAACCACAAGAAGUUCUAGGAAACACAGGCAGAGGACUGAAAAUGGACAUCAAUAAAAGAAAUAGUAAUUUAAAUAAUCAGAAACACUUGAAACAAAUUUAAGAUUAAAAAAGGUUCCUCAUUGACAGACUAAGAGCAAAUAAUUGCUAAAAUUUAUAAGACAACCAGAACCUACCAAACCUGCAGAUAGUAAAAAAACUGUUUGUGCUAUAGUGAAUGUAGGAUGUUCUAUUCUGUAUUUGGACUAAAGGAUAUGUAUUAAAUUUUGUGAAAGAAAUAUGUGAUCAUGUUAAACUUAUAAAAAGUCCACCCUAAACAUUCCUGUGCUGAAUUCCGUCAGAGAAUUUUACAUUUUAAGAUCAUUCAGGGAUGCUGGAAUUAGGCUGGAUUUUUUUCCAUGUUAUUCCAUCAAGGCUGGACUAUUUACCAUGGUAAAAAGUCCAGCCUCUACCUGGUUGGCAGACACAUGGAAUACCCUGGAAAAAAAUCCAUACUUUUGUUCCAAUACUCCAUGUACAUGGAAAAGCAUGGAAUAAAGUCCAUGCUUUUCCAUGGAAAACAUGGAAAAUAUUCCAUGCAGCAUGGAAAAUGUUCCAUGUUUUUUCCCUGUUUUUCCAGCCCAUUUUUUCUCAGCUACAGGCUGGAAAAGGCUGGAAAAUUUUGUUCCAAUACUCCAGCCUCUUAUUUUCCAUGGAAAUCCCUGGAAAAGCAUGGACUUUUUACA
Long non-coding RNA from Ruditapes philippinarum (Manila clam), 2139 nucleotides. RefSeq lists it as uncharacterized. The record is from RefSeq and is a predicted model, not a curated record. Lineage: Eukaryota; Metazoa; Mollusca; Bivalvia; Venerida; Veneridae. The transcript is spliced from 3 exons.